RNAcentral lists this transfer RNA (74 nucleotides) under Apalone spinifera (spiny softshell turtle). Its description in RNAcentral is "tRNA-Thr". Lineage: Eukaryota; Metazoa; Chordata; Testudines; Trionychidae. The record is from RNAcentral.
CUCUAAGUAGCUUAAACCACUAAAAGCACUGGUCUUGUAAACCAAAGAAUGAAGAACACAACCUUCCUAGAGUA